GAUGUUGCUGACGAACUUCUUGUCGUCCACCACCACGCUGAGCUGGCACGCGCGGGGGGCGAAGACGUGCAGGGGUUCGGGGAACAUGGGCAACUUCUCGCCGGGAGCCGCCGCCAGGACGAUGGCUCUGCGCCGCGUCUGCGCCACGCCGUACUGCCCGGCCUGCGCACACAGCGGGCGGCGCUGAGGGCGUCCACCGGGGAGCAACCGGGGGGCAAGCGGGGGGCAAGCGGGGGGCAACUGGGGGGCUGCGGGCCUUCGUGGCCACCGGGGAAUGCGGUUGGCUCAUGGUCAACUCUUGGUCAACCACUGGUCAACUCUUGGUCAACCGUUGGCCAACCAGGACACUGCAGGCCUUCGUGGCCACCACGGAAUGCGGUUGGCUCAUGGUCAACUCUUGGUCAACUGUUGGUCAACGGUCGGUCAACUACUGGUCAACCCUUGGUCAACCGCUGGUCAACUGUCAGUCAACUAGUGGUCAACUCUUGGUCAACUGCUGGUCAACUACCAGUCAACUCUUGGUCAACCGUUGGUCAAACAUUGGUCAACUCUUGGUCAAGCACUGGUCAACCACCAGUCAACUACUGGUCAACUCUUGGUCAACCGCUGGUCAACUACUGGUCAACUCUUGGUCAACUGGCGGUCAACCACCAGGCAACUACUGGUCAACUCUUGGUCAACCGUUGGUGAAGCGUUGGUUAACUACCAGUCAACUGCCGGUCAACUCUUGGUCAACUGUUGGUCAAACAUUGGUCAACUCUUGGUCAACCACUGGUCAACUACCAGUCAACUACUGGUCAACCACUGGUCAACCA
RNAcentral lists this long non-coding RNA (815 nucleotides) under Numida meleagris (helmeted guineafowl). RNAcentral describes it as "lncRNA (ENSNMEG00000004280.1)". Lineage: Eukaryota; Metazoa; Chordata; Aves; Galliformes; Numididae. The record is from RNAcentral.